UUUGUCCGAUCCUACAUCCUAUACCUAUUCAGUUGAUAGAGAAACCAUUGAAUCACUAAAAAUUAUGGUUUCUAAAAUCACUGAAGAGUUUGCUGAACAGAGAGAGAGGGCACAGAAGAAGUGGGAGGAAACAACAUCACAAAUCAAGAUGUUGCAGAAAUGAGUUCAGUUUUUUUAUUCAGACUGCAGGGAUUAUUCCUCCAUGUCCUGGGGAUACAAUUUAGGCUACAUAAGGUCUAGGCCUACAAUUUAGGCUACAAAAGGUCUAGGCCUACUGAUGAUAUCAGUAUAGAUAAAGAUGCAGAAGACAAAGAAGAUGACGAUGAAGAUGAGUGGUAGUUUUUUUACUUUUGUAUGUUUUGUACUUUGGAUUUGGAUAUUUUGUUGUAGUUUUUAUACUUUUGUAUGUUUUGUUGUACUUUUCACACUUUUACACUUUUGUUGGACAUUUUGUAUGUGUUGUAGUGAAAUUUUGUAUGUUGUGUAGGAAUACACUUG
RNAcentral lists this long non-coding RNA (498 nucleotides) under Capsicum annuum. RNAcentral's name for it is "long non-coding RNA (CANN_LNC009929)". The record is from RNAcentral. Lineage: Eukaryota; Viridiplantae; Streptophyta; Magnoliopsida; Solanales; Solanaceae.